RNAcentral lists this ribosomal RNA (586 nucleotides) under uncultured bacterium. Its description in RNAcentral is "bacterial SSU rRNA". It matches the Rfam family "Bacterial small subunit ribosomal RNA", at positions 338 to 936 of the family's 1533-position model. The record is from RNAcentral.
CCUACGGGAGGCAGCAGUGAGGAAUUUUCCGCAAUGGGCUAACGCCUGACGGAGCAAUGCCGCGUGGAGGAGGAAGGCCUGUGGGUCGUAAACUCCUUUUCUCAGAGAAGAAGAUCUGACGGUAUCUGAGGAAUAAGCAUCGGCUAACUCUGUGCCAGCAGCCGCGGUAAUACAGGGGAUGCAAGCGUUAUCCGGAAUUAUUGGGCGUAAAGCGUCCUGGGGUGGCUUACCCAGUCGACUGUGAAAGCUCAAGGCUCAACCUUGAAACGGCAGUCGAAACUUGUAAGCUUGAGUACGGUAGAGGCAGAGGGAAUUCCCGGAGGAGAGGUGAAAUUCGUAGAUAUCGGGAGGAAGGCCAAAGGCGAAAGCACUCUGCUGGGCCGAUUACUGACACUGACAGACGAAAGCUAGGGGAGCGAAAGGGAUUAGAUACCCCUGUAGUCCUAGCCGUAAACGAUGGAUACUAAGUGUUGCGCGACUCAACUCGUAGCAGUGCUGCAGCUAACGCGGUAAGUAUCCCGCCUGGGGAUAGUGCUCGCAAGAGUGAAACUAGAAUGAGUGAGNGAGNGCCGAGGCCAGACGAGGA